Molecule: long non-coding RNA, 947 nt
Organism: Patella vulgata (common limpet)
Lineage: Eukaryota; Metazoa; Mollusca; Gastropoda; Patellidae
Exons: 4
Source: RefSeq, a predicted model, not a curated record
CGACGAGGAUUAGCCUACUUCCGUUUCCACCCUUUCCCUGCACACUGUCUCAUUCUACAUGUAUUAAAAAUUGGUAUGUUACUGUAAUAUUAAUUAUGCACGAACCUACAUGUAGAGUUGUUGUAAGAUGGGUCCUUAUAUCUACUUAGCCUACAGAUGCUAGGUCGUUUCGGGAAAAAGGACAGUUUCAAUAUUGGAUGUAUAUGCAAAUCACCCAGAAAAAGAUCAUGUAAUAACAAAAGAAAUUAUAAAAGAAAAAAAUGGAAGAAGAAAUGGCUGGAAAAAAUGAUGAUAGAGCAGCUUUUUCUUGGUACCCACCUUGGAAGAUCAAGUUGGAAAGGGCUAUUGAUAUUGUGGAGACGUUUUCUCACAGAGCUUGCUUAUCAGACAAAGACUAUUUAACUACAUCAGAAAGAUAAAGACAGUUGGAAUGGCUAUUCAUAUUGUGGAAACUUUUCUCACGGAGCUCGAUAAUCAGGCAAAAUGUAAGUAACAUAUAUAUUUGUAUUUUUAAUCAGGAAGUACUUCUAUACACUUGCUUGGUAAUCUAGUUAUUCUUCUUGGGGCAAUGCCUAGGACUCUGCUGUUUCAAGUACUUGGCAUGCUUGAUUUUUGCCAAUCACAUCCAUUGAUUUCCUUCAAGUUGCGAUAGGCCCUACAUGUAUGUGUAUUUUUACAGUAAAUAGCAGUAAAAUAAUGAUGGACAGUAUUUUACUUUCAAAUAGAUUUCAAUAGAUUUUAAAGGGUAAUAUCCAAUUUGUUGUCAAAAAUUUGUUGUCAAUGGAAAUAAAAUAAGAAUGGGUCCAAAAAUAAUUAGACAUUGCCAAGUAAAUAGGUGCUGCCAUGAUGUAGUAGGGAAUCUGGAUUUGCAGACAAUACAUGUAUGAAAGGGUGAAUAGUUGACCUAUUAUGAGACUUCAGUCCCAAAUCUCAAGACUUUUUUCUGA